Molecule: ribosomal RNA, 358 nt
Filed under: Salmonella enterica subsp. enterica serovar Enteritidis
Lineage: Bacteria; Pseudomonadati; Pseudomonadota; Gammaproteobacteria; Enterobacterales; Enterobacteriaceae
Also listed under: 1 other name
Description: partial 23S ribosomal RNA
Rfam family: Bacterial large subunit ribosomal RNA
Source: RNAcentral
UCCUCCAAGGCUAAAUACUCCUGACUGACCGAUAGUGAACCAGUACCGUGAGGGAAAGGCGAAAAGAACCCCGGCGAGGGGAGUGAAAAAGAACCUGAAACCGUGUACGUACAAGCAGUGGGAGCACCCUUCGGGGUGUGACUGCGUACCUUUUGUAUAAUGGGUCAGCGACUUAUAUUCUGUAGCAAGGUUAACCGAAUAGGGGAGCCGGAGGGAAACCGAGUCUUAAUUGGGCGUUAAGUUGCAGGGUAUAGACCCGAAACCCGGUGAUCUAGCCAUGGGCAGGUUGAAGGUUGGGUAACACUAACUGGAGGACCGAACCGACUAAUGUUGAAAAAUUAGCGGAUGACCUGUGGCU